GCUGUAGCAGUGGCAAUACUUCUAAUUCUAGGAGAGGGAGAAGAAUCAAUAAGGGUAGGCCACACUGGUUGCCACAAGGUUGGAAGAUCAUAGAAAGAAUUCGCAAGAGUGGUAGAGAUAUCAAUAAAUUUUACAAGACUUAUAUUAGCCUGGAAGGACACCACUUUUGGUCAAAGCCUCAAGUUUUGAAGCAUCUCAAAAAAAAUACCAAUUGAAGUUGUGGUUGAACAGCUUUAAGAAAGUAGACAAUUUAAUCAAUUUGUAGAAUUAUUUUGAGAAUAAUUCGGAGGCUCGAACUAUCUAGUAUGA
This is a long non-coding RNA of Rosa chinensis, 309 nucleotides long. RefSeq lists it as uncharacterized. The record is from RefSeq and is a predicted model, not a curated record. The transcript is spliced from 3 exons. NCBI's taxonomy places the organism in Eukaryota, Viridiplantae, Streptophyta, Magnoliopsida, Rosales, Rosaceae.